RNAcentral lists this long non-coding RNA (281 nucleotides) under Citrus sinensis (sweet orange). RNAcentral describes it as "long non-coding RNA (CSIN_LNC005659)". Lineage: Eukaryota; Viridiplantae; Streptophyta; Magnoliopsida; Sapindales; Rutaceae. The record is from RNAcentral.
CAUUUUACCAUAACGUGCAGUGACAAAUUACUGUCAUACAAUUUUCCUCUCCCCUGUCAUGGAACUAGCCACAAAUUAUUAAAUAAAGCAUUAAACUAGUAACAUUUUGUUUAUUCAAAUAACCGGGUUGCAGUACUAAUACUGGCAGGGGAAAAUGAAAACAUAAAAAACGACGAAUACAAAAGAUUAAUUACAUGAAAGAGAGCAAUAAAUUUGUCUGAGUCUUUUGCAACAUCAACAAUUGUUGGCCUAUAUACCGGUGAUUCGUUGAGACAUUCAAG